CAGAAAUCCAUCAAAGUCGUCAUCCUCUGUAUCAGAAUUGAACAAUUGUGCAAGUACCGGUAAUCCAUCAAAAACACCGUGUUCCCUCUCGUUGUCAGAGUCACUCUCAUUGCCAUGUGGCUCCACAGAAAUAUUGCCGGCUUUGCCAAAAACUCGAACAACAGUGCAAGCAGACACGUUCGUCCAAGCAGCCACAAUCCAUUGGCAAAUUGUGGCGUAACUCGCCCAGCGCUGCCUCUCACUCUUUGUGAAGUUGUAAACCAAAACCGAAGUUGUUUUGCAACAAUGCACAUAGCCACACUCUAUACAGGUGUUGGUACCUGCUUGGGGCGUCCCUUUAGCGUCCACUUGCAUGCCCACCCUUCACUCAUUGGCGGACUUCUUUGCCGCAUGCCUGUCCUCACUCACGUCUGCCUUUUCUCUCUCUCUCUCUCUCUCUCUCUCUCUCUCUCUCUC
Long non-coding RNA from Hippocampus zosterae (dwarf seahorse), 456 nucleotides. RefSeq lists it as uncharacterized. The transcript is spliced from 2 exons. Lineage: Eukaryota; Metazoa; Chordata; Actinopteri; Syngnathiformes; Syngnathidae. The record is from RefSeq and is a predicted model, not a curated record.